CUAAUACAUGCAAGUCGAGCGCGACUGAUUACACCGUCCUUUUGGACACCGUAAUCAUCGAGCGGCGGACGGGUGAGUAACACGUGGGCAACCUACCCUUAAGACUGGGAUAACCGCGGGAAACCGUGGCUAAUACCGGAUAAUACUUUUAUACAUCAGUAUAGGAGUUGAAAGGUGGAUUUCUAUCACUUAAGGAUGGGCCUGCGGCGCAUUAGCUCGUUGGUAAGGUAAUGGCUUACCAAGGCGACGAUGCGUAGCCGACCUGAGAGGGUGAUCGGCCACACUGGAACUGAGACACGGUCCAGACUCCUACGGGAGGCAGCAGUAGGGAAUCUUCCGCAAUGGGCGAAAGCCUGACGGAGCAACGCCGCGUGUGCGAAGAAGGUCUUCGGAUCGUAAAGCACUGUUGUUAAGGAAGAACGACAGUAAGAGUAACUGCUUACUGUGUGACGGUACCUGACCAGAAAGCCACGGCUAACUACGUGCCAGCAGCCGCGGUAAUACGUAGGUGGCAAGCGUUGUCCGGAAUUAUUGGGCGUAAAGCGCUCGCAGGCGGUCUUUUAAGUCUGAUGUGAAAUCUUGCGGCUUAACCGUAAGCGGUCAUUGGAAACUGGAGGACUUGAGUACAGAAGAGGAGAGUGGAAUUCCACGUGUAGCGGUGAAAUGCGUAGAGAUGUGGAGGAACACCAGUGGCGAAGGCGAC
This 703-nucleotide ribosomal RNA is filed under the name uncultured bacterium. Its description in RNAcentral is "bacterial SSU rRNA". It matches the Rfam family "Bacterial small subunit ribosomal RNA", at positions 48 to 725 of the family's 1533-position model. The record is from RNAcentral.